UAGCUGCGCUGUGCGCUGCGCAGUUCAUGAGUUCACAUCAAAAUGGCGCUCGCUCACUCGCUGUGCGUAGAACGUAGUACUUGUGUAAACGUGUAAAUAAAUUGGAGAUAGCAUACAAGAAAACAGAAAGGGUUCGCGGUUCACCUUUUUUGUAACGGUUUCCUCGGCGUCCUUUACAAAGUCCAGUUGAUAUCGUGUCCUGUCCACGUCCAGGGUGGAUCAGACCUGAUCUACAAAAUCUUGGAGCAGCCGCUUUCGUCGUAUGCCAUUAAAAAAAUUAAAACAUGCCCGUUAUUAAAAUUUGGUCAGUAGACCAAACAAUCAAGAAAGCUGUUCCAAUAAUGGACCCAACUUUAAAAAAUAUCAUUGAAAAAGGUGAGUAAAUCUAAAUUAAUUUGACUUUUCGUAAUGAAAUAUUUUUUGUGUAAUUGUAGAAUGUAGUGUAUUGUAGAAUAGACUAUAAUUGGAUACCUACUGUUAAGCAUUAAUGUGCUGACUCAAACCACAUUUAUUUUGCAGUAUGAUGUCAAUUUAAAAAUUUGACGCUUGAAGUUGACAAGAUAGAGCUGAUGCUGAACCCUGGCUGUACCUAGUGGAACUCAGGUUUGGUGCAACAUAGGCCCACGCUAUUUUGAUCAUCCGUCACAUAGAGGGAGAGCAAUACCCAAGAUAUAAUUCAUAAUCCAUUUUCUUCCAGAUGAGGUACCAUCCUAAAUAUAGUAGUUCCAUUUACUAAUCUUAUUAACUUUUUCUUUUCCAGGAACCAUUAACCAGGGUUCAAGUUGCAGAGCUAUCCGAAAUAGCUGCGCCUAACAUUGUAUUUUUAGAUAAUGAAAAUAUAAUUAUAUUACUUGCUGGUAGAAAAAACGAUUGUUAGCGAAACAGAUUCUGCCUACGUCGUUACAACUAUUGAUGGCGGCUUACUGCAACUUGAAUAUGGAAUAUCCAGUGGACUGUCAAAACACAUUAGAAUUUAUACAAAGGUAUAUUUUUAUUAAAAUAAAUCCUAAAGAAGGAAGUCAUAAGUAAUAGUUUUUGAUUUUUAAAAAGCGUUUUUCAAUUAAAAGACAUGUCAAGAUCGCUUAACUUCUUGCAAGUUCUUUCUAAUGCUAAAAAAACUAACUAUAAUUAAUGUCAGUAACAAACAUUUUCAGACAAUUCGUUACUUGAAAUGGUAUAGGUUUCACGCAUUAGAUUCACAUAGGCCUUAUUAACCGAAACUUUUAUAAGACUAAUUCAUAAGAAGUACUUAUGUACAUAAGAUAUAAUUUAUAGUGUCGUAUAUGUCUUCUACUUUUUGUACUCUCUCACAGAAUAAAUAAUAAUAAUAUGCACGUAGACGUGUAUAUACGCGUGUGCUCUAUAAUUUGAGUGUGUGAAAUUCAAUAAAUUUAUUUCUUUGUAA
Molecule: long non-coding RNA, 1405 nt
Organism: Cydia fagiglandana
Lineage: Eukaryota; Metazoa; Arthropoda; Insecta; Lepidoptera; Tortricidae
Exons: 4
Source: RefSeq, a predicted model, not a curated record